CAAGACAACUUUACGGAGUUGACGAUUGACGGAGCGAAGCGACGUCAAAGCGUUCAUUAAAGUCGAGUUGGCUUAGGGAUACGUUCGUUGGGUAGGGGAGCGUUCUGUAAGCCUGUGAAGGUGUGUCGUGAGGCAUGCUGGAGGUAUCAGAAGUGCGAAUGCUGACAUAAGUAACGAUAAAGCGGGUGAAAAGCCCGCUCGCCGGAAGACCAAGGGUUCCUGUCCAACGUUAAUCGGGGCAGGGUGAGUCGACCCCUAAGGCGAGGCCGAAAGGCGUAGUCGAUGGGAAACGGGUUAAUAUUCCCGUACUUGGUGUUACUGCGAAGGGGGGACGGAGAAGGCUAUGUUGGCCGGGCGACGGUUGUCCCGGUUUAAGCGUGUAGGUGUGUGUUCCAGGUAAAUCCGGUUCACUUUAAC
This 417-nucleotide ribosomal RNA is filed under the name Salmonella enterica subsp. enterica serovar Typhimurium. RNAcentral's name for it is "partial 23S ribosomal RNA". It matches the Rfam family "Bacterial large subunit ribosomal RNA", at positions 1163 to 1556 of the family's 2925-position model. The record is from RNAcentral. Lineage: Bacteria; Pseudomonadati; Pseudomonadota; Gammaproteobacteria; Enterobacterales; Enterobacteriaceae.